GGCUGGUCUGGAGGUAGUGAGUUAUUUCAAGUGAUUGCUUACAUUCAGUUACAGAUAAAAUUCUUUUUUCUAUUCUUUCCCCCCUUCUCACCACUGCAUUUGACUUGUCUUUA
Unclassified non-coding RNA from Microcebus murinus (gray mouse lemur), 113 nucleotides. It matches the Rfam family "Y RNA". Rfam says of the family: Y RNAs are components of the Ro ribonucleoprotein particle (Ro RNP), in association with Ro60 and La proteins. The Y RNAs and Ro60 and La proteins are well conserved, but the function of the Ro RNP is not known. Lineage: Eukaryota; Metazoa; Chordata; Mammalia; Primates; Cheirogaleidae. The record is from Ensembl.